CUCACGGGGUUACCUGUCCUUACAGGCUUCGUUCCGAAGACUUAACCCCUGAAAGCACUAACGUGUCUCCGACCGAUGCCGGAGCCUGUCACUUAUGCUCCUUGCCGCUUUCCCCGCAGCUGUCUACAGUAUUUGAAUUACUGUCUUCUUCGCAUUUCUGGUUACUAGUCAACAACUGUUUAAUUUCUAUCCAAGGAUGAUUAAAUCGACGUACACUGAAACAAGAAAUAUGCACUCACAAUACUAAAGGAUGACCUGGUCCGUGAUACUUUGGUCGCUUCCUCUGCUUAUUGGUUCGACAAGCCUCCUAGGUCUGGUACGCUGCUGGCUCACACCUACUACUCAACCCUCAACGAUUUAGGUGCGGCUUUUCCUCUCUGGGCAGGAGCAGUAAUUGCCCGUUUUUGCCAUAAAUCUAAAGCGUGUGGAUGGUGGGAGAGAGAAGCUGCCUUUUCCUCUGUGGGGCCAACCAUCUGGAGACAUUGGGACGAGACUUGUCUGCACAAAGAGAGAAUGACAUCAAACUACACCAAACAUUUGGAAAUUUCGGGGCGAGAGACUUGAGGACGUGAUUCGAAUCCUGAGGUCGCCUCCCCCUGAUGCGGGGCAGGUGCUGGGAACACAGCAUGCAACCGGCAAGAGGCCAUCUCUGCCCUCAGGAGGUCUUGGAGGAGCCUGGUGGGAGACACAGCUACAUAACCAGGAGACGGCAACUCCGGUGCUCAACUAGGAACUCUACUGGGCUCUUUUCCCUCACUGAAAUCCUGGAAGCACCUGCCAUCGCCAUCUGCAUUUUACCAACGAGGAGCCUGAGGAUC
RNAcentral lists this long non-coding RNA (818 nucleotides) under Equus asinus (donkey). RNAcentral describes it as "lncRNA (ENSEASG00005031095.1)". Lineage: Eukaryota; Metazoa; Chordata; Mammalia; Perissodactyla; Equidae. The record is from RNAcentral.